CUAUACACUUACUAAAAUUGUGAAAAUUGGAACUAUACAGAAAAGAUUUGCAUGGCCUGUAUGUAAGAAGGACACGCACAAUCGUGAAGCAUUCCACAUUUUU
Phymastichus coffea is the source of this 103-nucleotide small nuclear RNA. NCBI's taxonomy places the organism in Eukaryota, Metazoa, Arthropoda, Insecta, Hymenoptera, Eulophidae. The record is from RefSeq and is a predicted model, not a curated record.